This 70-nucleotide non-coding RNA is filed under the name human gut metagenome. RNAcentral's name for it is "S10-Clostridia ribosomal protein leader". It matches the Rfam family "S10-Clostridia ribosomal protein leader". The record is from RNAcentral.
GCGAUGAAGCGGGAGGUUGCGGUCAAAAGACCGGUAAUUUCCGUGGAGUAUGUCCGAUAAACGGGCGACA